This 1302-nucleotide ribosomal RNA is filed under the name Triticum aestivum (bread wheat). Its description in RNAcentral is "partial small subunit ribosomal RNA". The record is from RNAcentral. Lineage: Eukaryota; Viridiplantae; Streptophyta; Magnoliopsida; Poales; Poaceae.
AUGACAUCAGAAGGGAAUAAAGCUGCUGCGCCUAAUGAACCGCUGCCCAUUGAGCCACUUGCAAGCUCUGGUGCAAAGCGUAAGCGUGGCCGCCCAAGGAAGUACGAGUAUUCUACAUAUGAACAACCUCACAUGGCACAGCCCAUUCAGAGCAUUCCACCUCUUCGCAGCGCACUGUAUAACCCAAAUAUCCGACAUGAUGGGCUGCAUAUUAACCAUACAUUAGGUGGUACUCUUGACACUAAAAUGCAUACAGUUUAUGUUCUGCCUGCACAGCAGACUCAAGGUGAUAGGCCCAGUCGACCUGUAGAGUCUGGUAGUACAGUCAAGUUUCGUGAAAAUCAAGUCUCCAGCAGUAGUAGUGCUCAUGUGCAAGGUAAUUUAGGCAAGGAUGUUAUCAUUGGCAAGCAUUUUGUUGGAAAGAUGACCAAGCAAUGUCCUGGGUUUUCUCUUAUUACGGUGAGACUGAAGGACAAUCAGGUGCUCAGAGGUUGGAUCCCGGAUGAAACUAACCUACGCCCAAUAACACCAAAGGAUGAUCUUGCCCCUGACCUUCCCAUGCUCCAACCAAGUAAACUUCAAAAGAAAGCAUCUGCAAUCCACAGACAAGCUGCUCCUCCCUUACCAGUCCACUUAGAGAACGUUACAAUUGCAAAGCCUCUUCAGAUGAGGAGGCCUGUGGAGACAUCUACUGCUAAGCACAUCAUCCCUCCUGCUCCAAGACCUUACGUUGGUUCUGGGGUUGUUGCAGCAGCACCUGUUUCGGUUAUAUCUGGGAAUGUAUCAAGGCCUUUGCCCAAGCAAGACACUGGAUCUUUGAGCCAAGAACCAUCAGCUACUGUGGUGCCAGUCACAGUUAAACCUGCUCAGCCUGUAUUAGUAUCAUGCAGACACGUGGAUCAAGAUGUGCAUGUUGAAGGAAAAUCUGUCCCUGAGUUUAACAGUGAUUCUGAAUCUUCAAGUGGAAGCAAGGAGUCAUCAGGCCAAACUCCGCGUGGUUUUCCAGCUGCCAUGGAUGAGACUGAGAUAACAUCAGGCUCCAAAGAACACUCAAAUACUGCUAAUAGCGACCAACAUAUUUUUAAGGAACCAUCAGAUAACUCAGAACAGUCUGAUGAACCAAAGACAGAGACUAGCAUCCUGAAAGGAGUUGAUGGCUCAAUGAUAGAGGCCUCAGGAACUGCACCAGCGGCAGAGGCCUCAAGUGCAAACCCUAAUCCCCUAGAUGAUGUUCAAUCUGCCGUGAAGGAAGAUGAACUGAAGGUUGACAGCAAAGAAAGCAGGCUGACAACGACGACAUAA